RNAcentral lists this ribosomal RNA (795 nucleotides) under uncultured bacterium. RNAcentral's name for it is "bacterial SSU rRNA". It matches the Rfam family "Bacterial small subunit ribosomal RNA", at positions 8 to 796 of the family's 1533-position model. The record is from RNAcentral.
AGAGUUUGAUCCUGGCUCAGAUUGAACGCUGGCGGCGUGCCUAACACAUGCAAGUCGAGCGGUAACAGGUGUAGCAAUACAUGCUGACGAGCGGCGAACGGGUGAGUAAUGCUUUGGAAUCUUCCCAGUAGUGGGGAAUAACCAGUCGAAAGAUUGGCUAAUACCGCAUACGUCUGUAAAGGGAAAGCGGGGGCUCGUAAGACCUCGCGCUAUUGGAUGAGCCAAAGUCGGAUUAGCUAGUUGGUGGGGUAAUGGCCUACCAAGGCGACAAUCCGUAGCUGGUCUGAGAGGACGACCAGCCACACCGGAACUGAGACACGGUCCGGACUCCUACGGGAGGCAGCAGUGGGGAAUAUUGGACAAUGGGGGAAACCCUGAUCCAGCGACGCCGCGUGUGUGAAGAAGGCCUGCGGGUUGUAAAGCACUUUUAGUGGGGACAAAAAGCUACGGAUUAAUACUCUGUGGUCUUGAUUUAACCCAAAGAAAAAGCACCGGCUAACUCUGUGCCAGCAGCCGCGGUAAUACAGAGGGUGCGAGCGUUAAUCGGAAUUACUGGGCGUAAAGCGCGCGUAGACGGUUUUGUAAGUCAGAUGUGAGAUCCCUGGGCUCAACCUGGGAACUGCAUUUGAGACUGCAUGGCUAGAGUAUCGAAGAGGGAAGUGGAAUUUCCGGUGUAGCGGUGAAAUGCGUAGAUAUCGGAAGGAACACCAGUGGCGAAAGCGACUUCCUGGUCGAAUACUGACGUUCAUGUGCGAAAGCGUGGGGAGCAAACAGGAUUAGAUACCCCAGUAGUCC